This 317-nucleotide ribosomal RNA is filed under the name uncultured bacterium. RNAcentral's name for it is "bacterial SSU rRNA". It matches the Rfam family "Bacterial small subunit ribosomal RNA", at positions 27 to 353 of the family's 1533-position model. The record is from RNAcentral.
GGACGAACGCUGGCGGCGUGCUUAACACAUGCAAGUCACGGGGGCCCAGCAAUGGGCAACCGGCGAACGGGUGCGUAACACGUGAGCGACCUGCCUUUCCGCGGGGGAUAGCCGGCCCAACGGCCGGGUAAUACCGCAUACGCUUCCUUCGGGGCAUCCCGUGGGAAGGAAACCUCCGGGGCGGGAAGAGGGGCUCGCGGCCUAUCAGCUAGUUGGCGGGGUAACGGCUCACCAAGGCGACGACGGGUAGCUGGUCNGAGAGGAUGGCCAGCCACAUUGGGACUGAGAUACGGCCCAGACUCCUACGGGAGGCAGCA